CAGUAGCCGCGGGAAUACCGAGGAUGCAAGCGUUAUCCGGAAUGAUUGGGCGUAAAGCGUCUGUAGGUGGCUUUUCAAGUCCGCCAUCAUAUCCCAAGGCUCAACCCUGGACAGGCGGUGGAAAACACCAAGCUGGAGUACGGUAGGGGCAGAGGGAAUUUCCGGUGGAGCGGUGAAAUGCGUUGAGAUCGGAAGGAACACCAACGGCGAAAGCACUCUGCUGGGCCGACACUGACACUGAGAGACGAAAGCUAGGGGAGCAAAUGGGAUUAGAUACCCCUGUAGUCCCUGUCUCUUAUAC
RNAcentral lists this ribosomal RNA (301 nucleotides) under uncultured bacterium. RNAcentral describes it as "partial 16S ribosomal RNA". It matches the Rfam family "Bacterial small subunit ribosomal RNA", at positions 509 to 807 of the family's 1533-position model. The record is from RNAcentral.